Molecule: small RNA, 28 nt
Filed under: Bombyx mori (domestic silkworm)
Lineage: Eukaryota; Metazoa; Arthropoda; Insecta; Lepidoptera; Bombycidae
Description: ovarian small RNA-14074
Source: RNAcentral
CCUGGGUUCGGUGACUCUAAGUGAUGGC